Non-coding RNA from Bactrocera oleae (olive fruit fly), 992 nucleotides. The record is from RefSeq and is a predicted model, not a curated record. NCBI's taxonomy places the organism in Eukaryota, Metazoa, Arthropoda, Insecta, Diptera, Tephritidae.
UGGAACACAUAUAAAUAUAAUAAAGACAACUGAUGAUGAGCAUUUGUAUUUUAACCGAAAGGGAUAUAUUAGUAUAAAUGCGAUGAUAUUUGGGUCUCCCAAUGAAGGAGGCCGCGGAAAUUAUAAUUUUUUGGAGUUUACUCCUUAAGAAUCGUUUUUCAUAUAAGGCGCCUGGUAUGAAAAAAUAUGAGGAGUGAAAUCUACUGAUGAAUGACCUCAGAUGAACUCGGUAACGUUUUCGCGCGCAUCAUUUCUCCCCACUUUUCAGUUGAGUAUACUUUUAUGUAUACUUUGUGUAGAGUUAUUGUUGUUAUGACUAUAGCGCCAUCUAUACUACUAUCAUAGUCUAUACACUACACGGUCAGCUGAUUGGUACGAGCGCCGCCAUAUUAGAUUGGCUGCAGUGAUAUGGAUAGCCGCAUUAAAUUUCAACUGCAGCCAACCCACGAACUUGAUUUCUGCCACAAUUUUAAUUCCGAUUUUAUUUAAUUUUUACAUAUUUUAGUUUUGAGUAUUAAACAUGUGGUCGCGGAAGGUGUGCAACAAAGUACUUAAAUUUCCAAAUAAGCAUGAAAAAGUGAAUACAGUUAUAAAAUAUAUUUCUGUGCUGAGUAAUUAAACAAAAGCGAGUAAUAUGGCAGCAUUGAAAUCAAAUUUGCAUGGCGCCGCAAAAUAGAAUAAUAUUUCAAUAUUCAUAACACAUUUGUACGAAACAGUUACAUGCCAAUAUAUAAGUAAAUAUACAUAUGCAUUUAAUUUUUAACAUUAUUUCUUUAAUUUGCUUGGAGUUUUUUCCAGUUAUUUUUUCAAGUAAACUUCUAAAUAGUGAAGGCGUUGAGUAAUGAUCGCUAAAGACCGAUCGUUGACUGGAGCAAUGCAGUGAUGACAAAUGCUUGAACGAAAUUUCAUUGAAUAUUAUAAGCUGAUUUAAAAACCGUGCUAUAUAAGCAGCCUUGCGCAGGCUCAGUUCAAACCCACGAUCGAGAGCUGGA